UAACCUGCCUGUAAGACUGGGAUAACUCCGGGAAACCGGGGCUAAUACCGGAUGCUUGUUUGAACCGCAUGGUUCAAACAUAAAAGGUGGCUUCGGCUACCACUUACAGAUGGACCCGCGGCGCAUUAGCUAGUUGGUGAGGUAAUGGCUCACCAAGGCAACGAUGCGUAGCCGACCUGAGAGGGUGAUCGGCCACACUGGGACUGAGACACGGCCCAGACUCCUACGGGAGGCAGCAGUAGGGAAUCUUCCGCAAUGGACGAAAGUCUGACGGAGCAACGCCGCGUGAGUGAUGAAGGUUUUCGGAUCGUAAAGCUCUGUUGUUAGGGAAGAACAAGUACCGUUCGAAUAGGGCGGUACCUUGACGGUACCUAACCAGAAAGCCACGGCUAACUACGUGCCAGCAGCCGCGGUAAUACGUAGGUGGCAAGCGUUGUCCGGAAUUAUUGGGCGUAAAGGGCUCGCAGGCGGUUCCUUAAGUCUGAUGUGAAAGCCCCCGGCUCAACCGGGGAGGG
This 515-nucleotide ribosomal RNA is filed under the name Bacillus halotolerans. Its description in RNAcentral is "bacterial SSU rRNA". It matches the Rfam family "Bacterial small subunit ribosomal RNA", at positions 122 to 622 of the family's 1533-position model. Lineage: Bacteria; Bacillati; Bacillota; Bacilli; Caryophanales; Bacillaceae. The record is from RNAcentral.